CUCUAGGAGAGAAAGGAAAGCAGACAGCAGCAAAUGAAUCCGUGUCUGUCUUCUCAAAAGGCAGGUUUCAGUGCUCUCCCAGGCUCAGUAACCCUGUGAAUUUAGACAUUAAACAGGCCUCUCAUGGGCAAGGUGGAUUUUGUAGGAAAGCAGAAACUCCCACGAGGGAGAUGCUCAAAAGCAUGUGAAUAACUCAGGGAAGGCAGUCCCCUCAGCUAUAAAGCUCUAACUGCUGGAAACUCUUCUGACCCCAGGCAUUUUGGACAGGGAUCCAGCUGGACACUCCCUCAGACUCUGACCCUCUGGCCUCCCUUCUGUGCCCUGUCUGCAGCCCCAGAAGGGCCAGGCAGUGAUUUGUGCUUCCCAGAUGUGCCUCUGCCUCAUCUCCAGACCUGGGGUAGCUACACCUGCAGGAAAAGGGGAUAACAGGAUAAUUUGCUUUUUUAUCCUCCAAACAGCCAGACAGGAGCAGAACAAAUGGAGAAGGCAGGGCUGCUGUGGCAUUGUGACCACGUAGUGCUGCUGGCCAAAGGGUGAGUUCCUGGAAAGCUGUCAGCAGAUCUGGCUUUUCAGAAUUAUUAUCUUUUCACACCAAGCUCAAACAUGGUUUCAGCCCUGUCCACGUGAAGGGCACAGGUCUGGAAUGCACAUUGCAGGGUCAAGGGUGGCAGUGCUUAGCUGGCUGUGGGGAGUGAGAAACACCCAAAAUACAUAAACUGAUGGAGACCUUCCAGCCUGAAAAGGCUUUGGCAUGCCAGCUUUGGCGAGUCUCACGUUUCUUUAUUAACAUAAGCAAAUGGAUUCCCAGCUAUCGAUGAUUUAACAAUUUCCUUGUCCAUGCAAUGUGUGCUCUCACACCUGCCCAGCCUCUCCUCUGUGCUCUGGCUGGGGAUAACUGAAGGAUCUGUGAGCCCAAAGUGCCCCUCCCCUCACCCCUUCCCCCUUUUCCUUGGAUAUGCACAGGCAGGAGGAGGAAACUCUUGGUGGUGUUGAAAAUCUGGCAUUUCUCUCACUCCUGUGGAUGCUGGCAGGAGAGGGAGGAGAGAACAGAACCCAGCCAGGGGCUCCAGGGCACUCUGACCCUCAGAAGCCCCCAGAGCCUGGGGAAGGCGAUGCUAUUCCCUCGGGAUGAGCAUCCCUUCCCGAGGGGAUGGAAUUCCCUGCGGUGGGAAGGACAGGCUCGGAAAGGAGAGCACGGUGUGCUCUGAGCCCCUCACCUGCAUCCCGCGGGCUCCCUGCAGGGGCUGACUGGCCGCACCGCGGCUGCUGCCGGCCCCAAACACGGGCUGGGAAGGCUCGGGGCUGUGGGGAAAAUUGGGAAUGGGGCGGGAAGGGCCGUGUGGAUGGGCUUUGUACCAACCUGGGUGAGGCGGAGACACAGACUCUGCAAACUGGAUGCUGCUGCUGCUGCUGCUGUCCCAAGGAACCUGAGCAAGGAGAAGGAAAGGAGAGGAGCUGAGCCACAGAGCGAGGAGUGUGAAUUCCACAGUGGAGGGAAUCCCAAGGAAUUCCUAGGGAUGGAUAUUACCGGGAAUGGGUAAUUAACUAAAGACCACCGCAGGUGUCCCGUCAGACUGGAUUGAUGUCGUUAGAGAAGCAGCUCUUGCAGCGCUCCUUGAAAAGGGACAGCCUCGUUUUUUAAGGAAUGUUGGAUGCUGAAACAAGACAGACCAACCACUUCUAGGAACCUGACCUGCUGGAAAGAAGGAAUCCACCCCAAGAGCAACGGGAGUUUUGCUGCUUGGGGGCCAGGAUUUUACUCUGCAAGUACUGGUGGGGUUUUCCCCCUCAGAUUUAAUUCAUACAGCCCUCCACUUCAUCUCCUUUAUUCAAGAUGCUCUCGAGUGAGCAGCUCAUUUCCCUGGCAACAACUUCCUGGCACAUGCCGUGCAUUUAAUUCCUGAAGCAGUGACUCUUCUGGGCUGAGGGUGCCUUUUGUCCCUGGUGCAGACGUGACAAGGCAGAGAUGGAGUCCCCGGGUUGAGCUUUUCUCAGUGCACAUCCUGCCAGCCCGAAGCCUCGGGGCUUUUGGGGCGGGCCAUACCUUGUGCAGGUCACCGAGGUGACUUCCCUCACCGCCGCUUUUCACUUUUUCCUGUGUGGGCACCACAGGGGUUGUGUGAAGUGCUGGUGGGAAGUGAAAACCGGUUCCACGCAGCCCUGGGACACCUGGCUGUGAUGAAGAGGCUGCUGCUGCUGGGGCUGCAGGGGAGCAGUGACCCAGCGUUUCCAAAACCUGACAAUUCUCUUCACCCCUGGAUCUCAGGCUGAUUUUUGUGCAAUCAGCUGCAACAAAGUGCAGAAGCUGAAAUGUGAAGGGCUCCAAGAGCUGCAAUGUCAUGAACCAGGAAGAAAUAAUGAUUUGCCAAGCUCUUUAUGCAAAUGCCCUGAGUGGCUGGAGCUGGAGGAAUCCUACAAAGGCUGGAAGAGGGAAUGAGAGGGAAUGUGCAGGUGUGUGUGUGCACACAGAGCUCCAGCCCCUCCUCCAGAAGGGAUGGGGCUGCCCAGGUGUGCUUUCAUUCUGGAGGGAGUGACUUUUCUGGAGCAGCAGCAGCUCUGCUUUCUCCCUGUACUCCUCAGAUUCUCACUCCUUUAGGUCACUGCUGCAGCUACUCUGACUGAAUGUUCCUUUCCCCCAUCCUCACCAGCCUGUUACACUCAGAUUUUGGUCCUGAGAUUACAGUCCUGGCAAAAAAAAAAAAAAAAAAAUCAUUAAAAGAGAAGGUACCAAGCCAUCACCACAAUAUUUUUACUCACUGCUGAACCAGCAGCUGCUUGUCGUGCUCUCCUCUGCUGCAGCAACUCCUUGACUGUGAUCUUCACCCUCACACCUUGGUACACCUUGGGCUUUCCUGGAAGAAUUUGUGGAGAAACACUUUGCAAGGAGGGAGAAUCUCCGAGCAAACAGCAAAUCCAGCAGGUUUUCAGGCGUGCUCUACGUGGAGAGCAGUUUUAGACUUAACAUGACUGUUUUUUUAGUCUCUCUUUGCAGCCACACUCACAGCCCCCUUUAACACCUGCUAUUCCAGCUUGGGACAAGCAGACACUCAUGAAAAUCUCGCUGUUGAUAAUAUUUAAAAAGCACAUGUUUAUUAUCUAUCUUCUUCUUCCCCUGCCCCUCUUCCAGCUUUCCCAAUACCCAGCUCCAUCUGGUGCUGCUGUUGGACUCAUUUAAAUUCCUGACAUAUUUGCCUCUCUCAGGACCUGAAAAUAAAUGUGGGAAGCAUUUCAUCUGGCAGAUGAAGCCCAGGAACAAAACAAUGGAAAUGUGUGGGUGGUUAUUCAGAGAGCUCAACAAAACACCGAUAAAAUGACUGUUUUCUUGCAAA
Haemorhous mexicanus (house finch) is the source of this 3329-nucleotide long non-coding RNA. RefSeq lists it as uncharacterized. Lineage: Eukaryota; Metazoa; Chordata; Aves; Passeriformes; Fringillidae. The transcript has 2 exons. The record is from RefSeq and is a predicted model, not a curated record.